AAACCAACCGGGAUUGCCUUAGUAACGGCGAGUGAAGCGGCAAAAGCUCAAAUUUGAAAUCUGGUACCUUCGGUGCCCGAGUUGUAAUUUGGAGAGGGCAACUUUGGGGCCGUUCCUUGUCUAUGUUCCUUGGAACAGGACGUCAUAGAGGGUGAGAAUCCCGUGUGGCGAGGAGUGCGGUUCUUUGUAAAGUGCCUUCGAAGAGUCGAGUUGUUUGGGAAUGCAGCUCUAAGUGGGUGGUAAAUUCCAUCUAAAGCUAAAUAUUGGCGAGAGACCGAUAACGAACAAGUACAGUGAUGGAAAGAUGAAAAGAACUUUGAAAAGAGAGUGAAAAAGUACGUGAAAUUGUUGAAAGGGAAGGGCAUUUGAUCAGACAUGGUGUUUUGUGCCCUCUGCUCCUUGUGGGUAGGGGAAUCUCGCAUUUCACUGGGCCAGCAUCAGUUUUGGUGGCAGGAUAAAUCCAUAGGAAUGUAGCUUGCCUCGGUAAGUAUUAUAGCCUGUGGGAAUACUGCCAGCUGGGACUGAGGACUGCGACGUAAGUCAAGGAUGCUGGCAUAAUGGUUAUAUGCCGC
Molecule: ribosomal RNA, 572 nt
Filed under: Saccharomyces cerevisiae (brewer's yeast)
Lineage: Eukaryota; Fungi; Ascomycota; Saccharomycetes; Saccharomycetales; Saccharomycetaceae
Description: partial large subunit ribosomal RNA
Rfam family: Eukaryotic large subunit ribosomal RNA
Source: RNAcentral